AUGAGGAUUCCAAUGCUGUGACUCCAGCUCCAGCCUUGGCUUAUGUUGUGAGUUUACCCUAAUCCCUGAAGUCAGGUCUUUUAGAAUUGAGCAUGUGCAAAUUGCAGACACCUUGCAGGGCUAAUUGGGCAUACAAAUGGGAUCACAGCUAACCAGAGACAUCUUGGAGCUGGCUGGCUUCAUGCACAAAAAUAUGGAGUGUAUUUCUUUGUCCUGAAGGGAAGACCACACAGGCUUUAACCAAGUGAAAACAGCUGUGUACAGUCUCUGUCCUCCUGUAGGAAUGAUGUGAAUGGUGAGCACUCUUCUUUGCUUGUGAAAUUCAGUAUACCAGAAGGGCUGUAUGAUGCCUGCUUCCUACUUAAUUCCCAUUUAGAUUGUAAGUGUCGGGAGUUUUGCGUUGCACAGGCUCUGUACUCCUGCAGAGGAUAAUAUACCUGUGUGUAUCCAAGGCUUUUCUCUCAGGGAGGAAGAAACACUGGGGAGAACAGCUGAUUUGUCCUUGUCUUCACAAAGCAAACUUUUGGACCCCUUCACCCCAAAUUAAAUACAAUUGUUUAAAAUUUGUUGUAUUGGGGUGAUAGACAAACAUAUAUUUUUUAAUACCAAAAAUUGGCAAUAUAAGAGAUCCCAACUCAAAAUGCUAUCCAAAUUAAGUAACCCUACAGUUAGUUUCAGUUAGUUUUAAUGCCAGAAACCGUCCAGUCUAAAUGGUGUGAAUAAAAUCUGAACCCUCCUUCUCCCUCUAGUAUUC
RNAcentral lists this long non-coding RNA (754 nucleotides) under Anas platyrhynchos platyrhynchos (common mallard). Its description in RNAcentral is "lncRNA (ENSAPLG00000020039.1)". Lineage: Eukaryota; Metazoa; Chordata; Aves; Anseriformes; Anatidae. The record is from RNAcentral.